This 408-nucleotide ribosomal RNA is filed under the name uncultured bacterium. RNAcentral's name for it is "partial 16S ribosomal RNA". It matches the Rfam family "Bacterial small subunit ribosomal RNA", at positions 28 to 526 of the family's 1533-position model. The record is from RNAcentral.
GACGAACGCUGGCGGCGUGCUUAACACAUGCAAGUCGAACGAAGUGGCGAACGGGUGAGUAAUACGUGGGUAACCUGCCCUCCGUGUUGGGAUAAGCCUUGGAAACGGGUUCUAAUACCGAAGAAAGGGGGAUGGGCUCGCGGCCUGUCAGCGUGUUGGUGGGGUGAUGGCCUACCAAGGGGGUGACGGGUAGCCGGCCUGAGGUGGGGACCGGCCACAUUGGGACUGGGAUACGGCCCAGCCUCCUACGGGAGGCAGCAGUGGGGGAUAUGGCACAGUGGGAGAAAGCCUGAUGCAGCGACGCCGCGUGUAUGAAGAAGGCCUUCGGGUUGUAAAGUACUUUCAGCGAGGAGGCGUUACUCGCAGAAGAAGCACCGGCUAACUCCGUGCCAGCCGCCGCGGUAAUAC